This 43721-nucleotide long non-coding RNA is filed under the name Setaria viridis. RNAcentral's name for it is "long non-coding RNA (SVIR_LNC003527)". Lineage: Eukaryota; Viridiplantae; Streptophyta; Magnoliopsida; Poales; Poaceae. The record is from RNAcentral.
GUAAGAGUACUUCUACCUCAGGUACGCUUGUUGUUAAUGUUAUAGACAACAUAUUUCUCGCUGAUACAGUUAUUAAUUCUUGGGUAUUUGAUACCGGAUCGGUUGCUCAUAUUUGCAAUUCGAUGCAGGGAAUGAUAAGAAGUAGAAGCGUGGAAAGAGGAGAAGUUGAUUUCCGCGUGGGCAAUAAUGCAAGAGUUGCUGCUUUGACCGUCGGGACGAUGCAACUCCACCUCCCGUCAGGAUUUAUUAUGGAGUUGAAUAAUUGUUAUUUUGUUCCUAGUUUAAGUCGAAACAUUUUAUCUCCUUCAUGUUUGAUGAAGGAUGGUUAUUCAUUUGCGAGUGAAAACAAUGGUUGUGUGAUCUCUAAGAAUAAUAUGUUUAUGGUUUUUGCACCCAUUGUGAAUGGAUUAUUUGUUUUAAAUCUUGAUGGUUCACCUGUCUGUAAUGUAAGUGCUAAAAGGCCUCGGCCUAAUGAUUUGAGUCCUACCUACUUGUGGCAUUGUCGUUUGGGUCAUAUAAGUGAAAACCGCAUGAAGAAGCUCCAUUCUGAUGGACUUCUAACUUCGUUUGAUUUUGAAUCAUACGAGACAUGUGAGGCUUGCUUGCUAGGCAAGAUGACCAAGACGCCUUUCACAGGAUUUCCUGAGAGAGCAGUAGACUUGUUGGAACUCGUACAUAGUGAUGUAUGCGGACCAAUGAGCACGACGGCUAGAGGAGGAUUCCAAUACUUCAUAACUUUCACUGAUGAUUUUAGUAGAUAUGGCUAUGUCUACUUGAUGAGGCACAAGUCUGAGACCUUUGAAAAGUUCAAGGAAUUUCAGAAUGAAGUUGAAAAUCAGCGUGGCAAGAAAAUUAAGGCCUUGCGAUCUGAUCGUGGAGGCGAGUAUUUGAGCCACGAGUUUAGCAAUCAUCUAAAGAGUUGCGGAAUUGUUCCACAACUUACGCCGCCUGGAACACCUCAGAGAAACGGUGUGUCCGAGCGACGUAAUCGAACUUUGUUAGACAUGGUUCGAUCAAUGAUGAGCCAGUCGGACCUACCGUUGUCAUUUUGGGGAUACGCUCUAGAAACAGCAGCUUUCACACUAAAUAGGGUACCAUCUAAAUCCGUAGUUAAGACACCAUAUGAGAUGUGGACUGGAAAGGUUCCUAGUUUGUCUUUUCUAAAGAUUUGGGGAUGUGAAGUGUUUGUCAAGCGACUUCAGUCGGACAAGAUCACACCCAAGUCGGAUAAGUGCAUUUUCGUGGGAUAUCCAAAGGAAACUUUGGGAUAUUAUUUCUACAACCGAUCAGAAGGCAAAGUGUUUGUCGCUCGGAACGGGGUUUUCCUAGAGAAAGAGUUUCUCAAAGGAGAAAAGAGUGGAAAGACAGUGCAUCUUGAAGAAGUUCAAGAUGAGCCAAUCGGGCAAGAAUCAAUGAGUGAUGCUAACGUAGCAGAACAAGUUGAGAUACCCAUGGCAAGAGAAGCACCGCCACAACCACGAAGGUCAGCAAGGCUCCGCGAAAUGCGAGAAAUAUUAUUGUUGGACAAUGAUGAGCCUGCGACAUAUGCAGAAGCAAUGAUGGACCCAGACUCCGAAAAAUGGCAGAGUGCCAUGCAAUCCGAAAUAGAGUCCAUGGGAGACAAUCAAGUUUGGAACUUGGUUGACCCGCCUGAUGGUGUUAAAGCCAUAGAGUGCAAGUGGAUCUAUAAGAAGAAGAAGGACAUGGAUGGAAAUGUUCACAUCUACAAAGCACGACUUGUCGCAAAAGGUUUUCGACAAGUUCAAGGAGUUGACUACGACGAGACCUUCUCGCCCGUAGUGAUGCUUAAGUCCAUUCGGAUUAUUCUAGCUAUAGCUGCAUAUUUCGAUUAUGAGAUAUGGCAGAUGGAUGUCAAGACAGCUUUCCUGAAUGGAAACCUAGCUGAGGACGUGUAUAUGAUACAGCCCGAGGGUUUUGUCGAUCCGAAAAAUGCUGGAAAGGUAUGCAAGCUUCAGAGAUCCAUUUAUGGAUUGAAGCAAGCAUCUAGGAGUUGGAACAUUCGUUUUGAUGAAGUGGUCAAAGGGUUUGACUUCACCAAAAACGAAGAAGAGUCUUGUGUUUACAAGAAGGUUAGUGGGAGCUCUGUAGUAUUUCUAAUCUUAUAUGUGGAUGACGUAUUACUGAUUGGAAAUAACAUUCCUAUGCUUGAGUCCGUAAAGACUUCACUGAAAAAUAGUUUUUCGAUGAAGGACUUAGGGGAAGCGGCAUAUAUUCUGGGUAUUAAGAUCUAUAGAGAUAGAUCGAGAAGGCUUAUAGGUUUAAGCCAAGAUACUUACAUUGACAAAGUGUUGAAGCGGUUCAGCAUGGAAGAGGCAAAGAAAGGGUUCUUGCCUAUGUCACAUGGCAUACAUCUCAGCAAGACUCAGUGUCCUUCGACUGCUGAUGAGCGGGAUCGCAUGAGUAGAGUGCCAUAUGCCUCGGCUAUUGGAUCUAUCAUGUAUGCAAUGAUAAGUACUCGCCCAGAUGUUUCAUAUGCGCUAAGUAUGACAAGCAGACACCAAUCUAAUCCAGGUGAGAGUCACUGGACAGCGGUGAAAAACAUUCUUAAGUACUUGAGAAGGACUAAAGAUAUGUUCCUUGUCUAUGGAGGUCAGGAGGAGCUCGUUGUAACAGGUUACACCGAUGCUAGUUUCCAAACCGACAGAGAUGAUUCAAAGUCACAAUCAGGAUUUGUGUUCACGCUAAAUGGUGGUGCUGUUAGUUGGAAGAGUUCCAAGCAGGAGACGGUGGCCGAUUCUACGACAGAAGCCGAGUACAUCGCGGCUUCGGAAGCCGCGAAGGAAGGUGUUUGGAUAAGGAAUUUCCUGAUUGAGCUUGGUGUGUUCCCGAAUGCGUCCAGCCCAUUGAAUCUCUACUGUGAUAACAAUGGGGCAAUUGCGCAAGCAAAGGAGCCAAGGAACCACCAGAAGAACAAACACGUAAUGCGGCGAUUUCAUCUCAUUCGAGACUUCGUUAACCGGGGUGAGAUCAAGAUAUGCAAAAUACACACGGAUCUGAACAUUUCUGAUCCGUUGACAAAACCACUCCCGCAGGCUAAGCAUGAUGCGCAUGUAAGAGCUAUGGGUAUUAGGUACCUUCUAGAUUGACUCUAGUGCAAGUGGGAGACUGUUGGAGGUAUGCCCUAGAGGCAAUCAUAGAGAUGAUGAUAUUCCAUUUGUAUCCAUGAUUUGUAUAUUGUGUUCAUUGAAUAUCCAUUAAAGGCUACUUGAAUUGAUUUGCAAUUAUGUGAAUUGUAUGUGAAACUCUUUACUUGUAUGGUUAUUCUAAAGUUGUCCCUAGUCGGAGUUCAUGUGAGGACACACAUGAAUAUUAGACUAGCACAUGUAUUAGUUGAUGACUAUGUUUCACAAGUCAUGGACAUGGAGAUGUUGAACUAAUAAUGUGGACACAUGUGGAGACAUGUGUUAGGACUGACCCAACACGAGAAGUAGUUCUCUCUUUAAACAACAUAUACGCUUUGUCCUUAGACCUAAGAUUGUCGCAUGUAUUCUAGAUGUGGAUCGACCUACUUAGGGGCUAUCAAACGCUACGCCGUAACAGGGUAGUUAUAAAGGUAGCUUUCGGGUUUGUCAAGAAGCAUGCUAUGAGACAUGGUCAAUCAAGAAGGGAUUUGCCCCUCUCUGAUUGAGAGUGAUAUCUCUGGGCCCCUCGAGUGAUCGGAUCUGAAAAUGCAUGGCCAUGCUACGUACGGUUAAGAGUUAACCUACAAAGGGAUUCCGAAUCACAGGAUCGAGAAAGAGCGGUUGGCUUGAAGCUAGACCAAAUAUCGUGAGGCAAAGGGAAUAGCAUGUAUAUUAUGUUGUGAUGGUUCGUCUGAUAUGAUCUUCGUGUGCGUAUAGGAGUUGGCACGUCUUGCUAGAGGCCGCUACCGACUAUUGGGCCGAGUAGGAGUACUCGGGCCAUGUCUAUACGUAUCCGAACCCAAAGGGUCGCACACUUAAGGGGCUGGAAGCCCAAUUCGGAUUUGAUCCGAGUUGGAUUAGGUUUAGGAGUACUAAUGGGCCUCGGAUCCAGAGGCCCAUCAGGAACCCCUAUAAAUUGAGGGGUGGGGGUGCCCUAGGGUUUCACACCUUUUGGCUGAACACACUUGCCGCGCCUCCCACUCCCUCGCCUGUUGCAACUCGCGGAUCUAGCAGUCCGGCUUGCGACGCUUCCUCCCUGCACGUGUGGAUACCUUGGAGGUGUUGCGCCUGCAGCACUUGGACGAGCCAUCGACGAGCCGCCGACGAGCCACGACGAGCCGCCGACGAGCCGCGGCACCGGAGGCGAUCUUGCUGUGCACGUGGACGAGCUGCUGAGGAGCUGCUGGACGUGAUCGACUACGUACGACUACGUUGAUCGACUACGUACGACUACGUGAUCGUCUUCACUGCAUCGACGCAUAUCUACAUCUUCCGCACCAGUAGUGCGUCGAGUGGUAAUCCCGUGAUCCUUAUACGGCAGUUCUUCCUAGUUAUACGCAGUAGAAAUUUUGAUUUACGCUAGCGUAGCCUACCUCGUAUCCCAACACCCACUCCACUCAAGUGGUCCGAGGUUCCAAUUUCUUUCAGCAGAAAGGAUCAAUGGACCAACUUCUCAGAGCCAGACCACUUUCCCCUGGUACUCAACCUAGUUGUCGCAGGCUCAAGACAAACAAAAGUACUCAUCGACGGUGGCAGUGUACUCAACGUCAUCUUCGCGAAAACCUUGAGGAAAAUGUGCCUCGACAUAACUGAUAUGCUUACACCAAUAGAUUCACCUUUCCACGGAAUUGUUCCAAGCAACGUCGUUAUCCCAUUAGGGCAAGUCAUCCUACCUAUCACCUUCGGUGCCAAGGAGCAUUAUCCCACCAAGUACAUUAAGUUCGAGGUCGCCGACUUGGAGACUUCUUACUACUCCAUCCUUGGAAGGCCGGCUCUAGCUAAAUUCAUGGCUAUACCACACUACGUAUACCUACUGCUCAAGAUGCCAGGACCAAAGGGAGAACUCACACUACAUGGAGACCUAAGGUGAUCCUAUGAGUGCGACAAGGAAGCCGUCGAAAUUGCUGCGACUUCUCAAGCACCCGGUCCCAUGCAACAAGUCUUCACAGCCUCAAAAAAACUCACCCCGGCAGAACUCGAUAUUCUAGAGAACAAGUCGAGGGUGGCCAAGUUCAAGCCAACAACAGACAAGGACUUCAAGCCCAUUGACCUGGAGACCGGUGAUUCAUCCAAGACAACCUUGAUUGGCACAGGGCUAGAUCCCCAAUAGGAAAGUGUGCUCAUCAGUUUCCUUUGAGCUAACCGAGACAUCUUCGCUUGGAAGUCGGCCGAUAUGCUAGGUGUGCCCAAGGAACUGAUCGAGCACUCACUAAAUGUUGAUCUCAAAGCUACUCCUAAAUGGCAACGAUUACGAAGAUUCGCUCAAGACAAGAGAGACGCUAUCAAGAAAGAACUAGCCAAACUACUCAGAGCAGGCUUCAUCAAGCAAGUUUUCCACCCCGACUGGCUAGCCAACCCAGUACUCGUUCAUAAGAAAAACAACAAUGAGUGGAGGAUGUGUUUCGACUACACAGACCUCAAUAAGCACUGCCCCAAAGACCCCUUCGGGUUACCCAGGAUUGACCAAGUCGUCGACUCCAUAGCCGGUUGCGUGCUACUCUGUUUCCUCGACUGCUACUCGAGUUACCAUCAGAUAGCACUCAAGGAAGAAGACCAAGCCAAAACCACCUUCAUCAGCCUUCAUCACCCCGUUUGGAGCUUUCUGAUACAACACAAUGUCCUUCGGGUUGAAGAACGUAGGCGCAACAUAGCAACACGCAAUUCAGAUGUGCUUCGAGAAGCAACUACACCGCAACCUAGAAGUCUAUGUGGAUGAUGUAGUCAUCAAAACAAGAAACCCAGAGGAUCUCAUCGCAGACUUGGAGGAAACUUUCACAAGUCUGUGAGGCUUUCGAUGGAAGCUCAACCCUACAAAAUGCAUUUUCAGCGUACCCUCAGGGAAACUACUCAGGUUCAUCAUUAGCCAUCGUGGCAUUGAGGCCAACCCAGAAAAGAUCUCUUCUGUCACCAACAUGCAAGUAGCUCCAGCCAGCAUCAAAGAUGUGCAGAAGUUUACAGGCUGCAUGGCAGCCCUGAACAGAUUCAACUCAAGACUUGGAAAACGCGAACUACCCUUCUUGAAGCUACUUAAAUGACAAGACAAGUUUCAGUGGAUAGAUGAGGCUGAAAAAGCUCUCGAGCAGCUGAAAGACUUCUUGUCAAAACUACCAAUCCUCACAGCUCCAUCACCAAAUGAAGAUAUGCUCUUAUACAUCACCGCAACUACUCACAUCAUCAGCACGGCCAUAAUAGUUGAGCGAUCUAAACCAGGCCACACUUACAAAGUCCAGAGACCAGUCUACUUCGUCAGUGAAGUACUCUCGGACUCCAAAACCCAGUACCCACCGGUACAGAAGCUACUCUAUGCUAUACUACUCACUUCACGGAAGCUACAACAUUAUUUUCAAGAGCACAGCAUAACCGUGAUUACCGACUUCCCGCUAGGCGAGAUCCUACACAACAGAGAUGCCACGGGAAGAAUCUUUAAAUGGGUAGUUGAACUCAAGCAUUGUCCUUGGACUUCAAACCCAGGACAACAAUCAAAUCCCAAGCCCUAGUUGACUUUUUGGUAGAGUGGAGAGCGAAUCAACUACCCACUCCAAUCGAAAAACCCGAGCACUGGGUCAUGUACUUCGACGGAUCACUCAAGCUUUAGGGAGCCGGCGUAGGAGUACUCUUAAUCUCCCCAAAAGACGAACAAAUCAAAUAUGUUCUCCAAAUCUUUUGGGAAGUCUCAAACAACAAAGCCGAGUACGAAGCACUUCUACACGGCCUUUGCCUUGCAAUCUCACUGGACAUCAAACAACUUCUAGUUUAUGGCGACUCAUUAGUAGUCAUCAACCAAGUUAACGACGAGUGGGAUCACAACAAACAAAACAUGGACGCCUACUUCAAGGAAGUUCGCAAGCUUGAGAACAAGUUCUCAGGACUCGAGUUUCACCAUGUCGUCCACGAAAACAACGUCGCUACCGACGUAUUAUCUAAGAUGGGCUCGACACGUGCGGAAGUCCCAGCGGGAAUCUUCGUACACGAACUCCGCCAGCUGUCUAUCAUGGAACAAGCUACUCAACCAAUUAUCAGCAAGGAACCUCCAGGCCCUGACUAUGACAUCAUGAUGAUCGAAGUUGACUGGAGGACCCCUUCCAUUGAUUUCAUCAAAGAACACAAACUACCCUCCAACAAGAAUCAGGCAGAACAAGUCACGCGAUAAGGCAAGACCUACAUUUUAGUCGGAGAGAAAAUCUACAGAAGAGGUGCCUCCUCGAGAGUACUCAUGAAGCGUGUCACUCACGGGGAAGGCACGGACAUGUUGGAGGGGAUACACAAAGGAAUAUGUGGCAAGCACGCAUCUUUGAGAAUAAUAGUAGGCAAAGCUUUCAAAGCAAGCUUCUACUAGCCAACAGCAUUGGCAGAUGCAGAAGAACUUGUCCGUAGAUGCUAGGUUUUUCAAUUCUUCACCAAACAACAACACGUUCCUGCCUACAAGUUUAUCACAAUACCUCCAACAUGGCCCUUUGCAUGCUGAGGGCUCGACAUGAUCGGCCCACUUCCAACAGCUCUAGGAGGAUUCAACCAAGUACUCGUGGCCAUCAACAAAUUCACCAAGUGGAUCGAAGUCAAAUCCGUGACUUGCCCCAAGAUCGACCAAGUCCUCGACUUCCUGGAUGAGAUCGUUCACCGCUACGAUUUUCCCAUACACCUUUACUUUCUCGUACUCAACAUUUAUGCUAUGCACAUAUUAAGAUUAAAUUGAUGGGUCCCAAUUAAGGUUCGCCUAGAUUGAUUUACCUUUGCCUUGACCAACCGGUUUACUUUAUGUUGGGUAGCUCAUGCUUAGUGCUUACUUGGUACAUGGUGGUUUAACUUCACACAAUGCUUAAUCUUGCUUUACUUCUGUUAUACCUUUCAUUAAGACAAGAACAUUAUUUGUUAAUCGGAACAUGGAGAACCACCCAGGAAAACAGUGCUACCACAAGACUAAAUGGCUCUGGUCUUGGCUGAUUAAUUAGAAACCUUAGUCUGGGGUGACCUUACUCGUGAUGAGGCAAGAGGGGGGACUGAGUCGUUGCAUUUUACCUGGGAUGGGUGGUGCACGCCAGACACCGAAACCUUAGCGGGUUACCACUGAUUAAUGAAUCUUUGUAAAGGCCUCGUAGCGUCCCUAUGCAAUCACACCUCGGAAGUGUGGUAUGGUGCCUUGCAAACACCGCAUGGUUGGGUCCAAAGUUCUUAUGAACUUUUACGCGACUUGUGGGUAAAGAUGUGCCACCUCUGCAGAGUGUUAAACUGAUCGAUCAGCCGUGCUCACGGUUAAGAGCGGCCUGGACCCUCACAUGAUAAUAUUAUCGGAAGAUGGAUUUAACUUGUUAUCAUUUCAUGCAUUUGUUGCUUACCUUGUGAUCAUGUUUAAUUUCAGGUGGUAUGAACUUAUACUUAGUUAAUUGCUAAUAAAACUUGACCAACUUAAUUAAAAGCGAUUGCUAAUUAUGCCUUAGCCAUACCUUGAAUUAGCCUUACACUACACUAUUCCCCACGACUUGUUGAGUACCAACCAUAAGUGUACUCACCCUUGCAAAACCGCUGUUCAGACCAAGUUAAUUGGGAAGAGGAGUAUCUACACGACUUCGAGGAGUUCUAGGCGUACGUUUCUUCAGUCAGCUGCCUGUGGAGUCGUCGUUGUCUUUGGAGUUCCGCUGCGUAAUAAUUAGACUUUGUGGUUUAUUUGAGACUUUCGGUCAUGUAUUAAUGGUUAAUACUCUCUUUAUUCGAUUUAGCACUGUCUUUGCUAUUCACUAUUGUCGUACAUGUGUGUAACUUGAUCCUGGCGCACAUGUAUUUAAUGCACUCGAUUUUGUCCUUAAAAUCGGGUGUGACACGAGUUCUGGGAGUACUGCGAGAACAGUGGUAUCGACGUUCGCUACGUCUCUGUCGCUCACCCACAAGCCAAUGGCCAAGUGGAGCAUGCUAACGGUAUGUUACACGAAGCUCUCAAGAAAUGACUAUACGAUAUCGGUAACACCAAAGGAGGCAAGUGGCUCAAAGAACUACCCAACGUUCUCUGGGGGCUGCGUACUCAACCAAGCAAGCCUAUAGGGCAGUCACCCUAUUUCCUUGUCUAUGGGUCAGAAGCCAUACUCCCUACUGAUGUCAUGUGGAAGUCUCCAGCAGUUGAACAAUAUAAAGAAGGAGCAGCAGAGGGGAUAACCCGACUCGAUCUAGACAGUUUGGAAGAGUCACGCUGUGUAGCACUCAUUCAAUCCGCGAGGUACCUUGAAGGACUAUGCCGUUAUCAUGACCGAAACACCAAAGAAUGUUCUUUCAACAUUGGUGACAUCGUCCUCAAGUGCAUCUUGGAUACAACGGGGCUGCAUAAACUGAAUUCACCAUGGGAAGGACCUUACAUAAUAUCCAGAGUCAUUGGACUUGGAUCAUAUAGGCUCCAAGGACUCUCUGGUGAAGAAAUUGCCAACUCAUGGAACGUAGAGCACCUAUGUCGCUAAUACCCUUAGAUAGCAAACUACAAGGCAUUGUACUUAGGCCAACGGCCUCAACCUGUCCCUCUGAUAAAUAAAUUUUAUUUUAUGGCAAACAUAGACUACUCAUCUAUGCCUACCUCUAGCGGCUCACAACAGUGAGUCAGCUGCAACUCGGGUUCUUCAACCCCAUGAGCCGUUGCGCGCUAUCUUCAACUUUUAGUCACAAGUCUAGCGGCUCGCAACAGCGAGUCAGCUGCAACUCAGGUUAUUCAACCCUACGAGCUCUUGCGCUCUGUCUUCUACUCAUAUUCACAUGUCUAGCGGCUUGCAAUAGUGAGUCAGCUGCAAUUCGGGUUCUUCAACACUACGAGCCCUCGCGCUCUAAUUUCGACUUGUAGUCACAAGUCAUGACUACCCUACUAGUCCCAAAGCUCCCCAGAGGAUCAAGUCUACCACAACAAAAGAGUACUCAAAGUCACUCCCUUUCCUAUAUGCAUUCUUCGUAAUAAUGAAAUUUUGUAGGAAUACAACAUAACUCCAUUCUAAGAAGUCAGAGUAUUCAAAAUACAACAUAAGUGCACAACAACGACUAUAAGCAACUGCCUACUGGCAGCCACAAUAGAAGUCCUAGGCUUUUAUCAUAUCACAAGGAUACACUUAAGCCUCACGACUACUCGCAGAUCAGGAGCAAAAAGCAUCAAGCGAGAGGAAGUACACGCAAGAAAGCUGCGCUCUAGGCAGCUGUACCCUCCUCCACUCGACGACACCUUAGAUGGGGAUAAGAGUACCAGGUACUCCUUCACCGCCUCUCCCCAGCGUCACCUCGGGCCUCUCUUCCCCAAAACCCGGCACAGGACUAUGGGUACACAUCAUGCACUUGAGUCCUACCCAGAGAAACUGCGGAAGAGGCGAGUAGUCGGAACCACACCUCCAUCUUUCACCAGAGAAUUGGAUAAAGACCGCGGAACUCAUCAUCCUUCACUCGCGAGUUCCAGCACGAACUGAGCUGGAUCUUAGGCGACAAGGCAGAGCUCACAGUGAACCCUCAUACGAGGAUUCUUCUAGCAUCCCAGCAAGUACAUCUAACGUGAAGAUCUGUGGAGGGAAGGUGGCUCUAAUCUACUAGGAAUCUUCUAGCACCGGGGCGCUCAUUGGAAGCUUACUACUAUCGAACAACAGCAACCUAAAGCAAGCCAUCGCUAUUCUACAAGCCAUGCCCCUGCUCGAACACCCGGGGGCCUAUUUAUAGUUGAAAGACUGCAACUGCCAACUACUCACACUUAUUGCACGCUCAUGAUUCAUAGUUUGAGACACUGACAAAAGCAAUUACGACCGGAGCAGCGGUCAGGGUGCUGCAGACAAGAUGAAAUAGCUUUACGCAUGUGACUACACUGGGUACAACGGACAAAGGUGCACAGUGUAACCCUGUGUCUUUUCAACAUACAAAGCAAUCAUACAUACAGUACUAUCACCCGUGACUCCAAUAAUUGAGAUUCCGUCGAGUAUCUCUACCGUCAUACUACUCGGAUUUAUCUCAUCGACUACAAGUACCCGACAAAAUUGACAAUGCGAUAGUCAAAAUGUCAAAAUAUUGUUUCUCAAAGAGUACCUGCUAGAGCAAUAGCAGACUUGCUAUGAGUACAUCACAAUGAUAACAGUCAAUUUUCGAGUACAAUGGACAAGCCACUACAGUACACAGAUCUACAGCUCCUCGAGGGUAACGAAGCCCAUCAUCUUGUCAGCAAUAGGCUCCGCCUCUUCAAGAUAUGUUGUGUAAUCCAUAUCCGUGCAAUUCCGGGCAAUACCAUCCCCAGCGGAUGACAAGUCUGCUCUCAGGUAAUACGACUUCACGACUGCUAGGACUUGCAUGAAGACGGUCUUGCAGAGGCUAGCGACCUUCGCUAGAGCAGCUCUCAACCUCUCAACUAAAGAGAGAGGCUCGACCUCCUGCUUGGGUGGACCAAUAGCAUCAACUACCGCCUGGGCAGCGCUGGCCAGCUCCACGAGUUCUUCUUCUCAUUUUUUAAUGGUCACCUCGUGAUCCCUGCAUGCCAACAUGGCCUGCGCCAGUGCAACUCCAGCCCGCUGCUUCAUUUCUCUUUCCUUAGCACAGGCCUCUUGCGCUUCAGCCAGUUGCACCCUGAGACCGUCAACUUGAUCAGCAACCCGAUCAUGCGCAUUUUUCCAGUUCAGCAGUAGACUACUCAAGCUGGACUCUUUACCCUCAAGCUCUGCAAAGAACAAAAUCAGUACAGGGAACAUCUACGACUAUAAUCAAAGUACUCUACCACAGGAGGCACAAGUACUUACCCUGAAUCCUCUGGUUCAACAACUCGAACCAUGCUUCAAGGUGACUCUUUUCGACUUCGUGAUCAUGCCUCUCGAUUGCAAAAGAUUUCGUGGCCUCUUCAUGAAUUUUCAAAUACUCUGUAAGACGGCGGCGCUCAUCGACAAGAUCCCUCUCCAAUAGGGCCACACGCCGCGCGGCCUCCCUAUACUCGUGAAGAACCUGGACGUUCUUCUGAGCCUUGCGAUACAAGUCCUGCAAAAAACCAACAGAUACGGAGUGUCACAGAAGGGCCAUGACUACAAGAAUACACUACUCAGGCUAAGACCGCACGCAUACCUGGUAACUAGAACUCAUGCUCUAAAUCACCCUUUGGAUUUCUGAUUCCGGACGCAACUCAACCACUGGGUUCUCCUCAACCUCGACAUCUCAAGGCAUUGGCGCCUCACCUAUGCCAAGCUCGAACAGCAGGUCAGGAACCAACUGCUGGGUAAACGAGGGUUCCCCCUCAUUAGCACCCCUACUCACCAGCACUCCGAGUGCUGCAUCUUCUCCCUUGGCAGACACCACCCGUUUUGCCACCACCAGCGCCGAAUCAUUGACCCCGGGCGCAUCCAAUGCCGCUGCAUCCUCAGCAAUGGUGGGUGGCUCAAGGCUUGAAGUCUCGAGGGCUGCAGGUUUCUCUAUUGACCGGAUCACCUCCUGCAGCAUUGUGACUGUCGCACCUACCAGGCCAGCAUCCGCGACUUCGGGUUUAUCGUCCAAGGUCAAAUCAACCACGGGCGCGGACUCGGGGACUGUAGUUGGUGGAUCAGAUGCCACCUCUGCACCCGCUUUGACGGGUAUUAUCUCUUCCGCGUACCUGGAUUGAACAGGUCACAAAUUCACCAACUGGCUACAGAAGAUAAAGCUACAAAUUGGUUAUAGAAGUACACGGGUACUCACCGAGCCGACCGAGGCGGAACUCGGCAGCAUUUCUUUUCAACUCGCACCGGUUGAACACUCAUGACCGACACCACGGGCUUCACAGGAGGAAGAUCUCCCACAUUUUCACCAAGUCCUGAAAGAAUCAAUGCUAAAACCACAUAGGCACGACUACCGACAAUGUUAGCAUACUCACCACCAGAAGCAAUUUCAUCAAUCGUCACAUCUACAACUGGCUCCGGCAUCGCAGCAAUGUUCAUCAUGCCAGCCACAGAAGGGACCACUCCGCCCCUUGUGACUACAGCAUCAUCGACUACCGAGCCAAUAGUUAGCUCGAAGGCCUCGGGGGCUAUUGGCUUGGGGGCUGGCGACACAAUCUCCACAGACACUUUACCGCCUACACUCACCGCUGCAUCUUCGGCAAUUCCGACUACUUCAGCCGAAGUAGUCACAUUUGGGCUAUCCAUUGCAGUAGUCUAGUCAAUACUUUCAUCAGGAUCCUCGACAGACUAAAGACAACAAGAUUAGCUUUCAACUCAAUCAAACUACUCAAUAUCUCAAAAACAAUUUUGCAUACCUUGGACAUCCACUUUUUCGUGGAAGAGAUCACCGAUGCGGUUGCCUUGUGUUCAAUGACCGGCCGUCUUCUCACCACAACUCGCGCUUCUUAGCCGGAGGGGCUGGGGGCUCAUCUUCACUAUCACCCCUGGCUUGCUAUUCAAUUUCAAAAGGUGAGGUCCAAUACCCGCCAACACUCGAGACUACAAAUUACAAUCAAUAUUUUACUCGGAAGGUUCUACUAGUCAAGAAAGCAAAUGACUACAAACAACAAAAGGGAAAAGAUCGCACAAGCAACUUACCUCUCUAGGCUCAUACUAGUUGUCAAACUUACGGAUGGCUUCAUCGACUACCGGUACUCCAUGGUAGUUCUUGAAAAACCUGCUCAAUAAUACCUCCACAUCAUCAUCAGAAAUGUCUUCAGAAGACAUAUGAAAUGGAACUUCAAAACCCAAGUACUCGAAGCCCCAACGAUCCUACUGCUGCAGAGGCUGUACCCUGCGCUUCAGGAAGCUCGCGGCCACAUUAACUCCAGUCAGGCUAGCUGCCUUCAACUCGCUGAUUCUAUCCAACAAUUCAGUAACCUCCUGAUCGUUUUCAUCCGGCUCUGCUACCCACUUGUCCGAAUAGUUCAUAGCAUGACCUGAGACUACUGGCAAAGUUGGAUCGUGGUUCCUGACAUAAAACCACCUUUUCUUCCAAUCACCAUGGGAAUCGGGCAACUCAUAGUCGAGAUAUGUCGUCAAGUUCCUCAGAUGAAUACCGGCUCCCCCAAAAACUUCAGUCCUUGCUGCACUAGGUUGCGGCUUGCAACGAAACAAUUUUCUGAACAACACGAAGCUGGGCAGAGUCUCCAGAUAUACUUCGCACAAAUGAACAAAGAUAGCCAAAUGCAGAACACCAUUCGGGUUCAAAUGAACAAGUUCAAUGCCAUAAUAGUUGAGAAUACCUCUGAAGAAGUCCAAAGUAGGGAGCGCUAGGCCUCUCUCAACGAAAGGUGCAAGCAUUACUGUCUCCUGAGGGUGUUCCUCAAAUUGCCACGCAUUCGCAUUCGUGGGUCUCCAUUCAAGCACACUCUUUGGCUGAAGCAACUUCACGUCCACCAACUCCUGGAUUGCCGAUUCCUUCAUGAUCGAGUGCUUCCAGGCCAUGCCUAGAGGCAGCGGAGCGGUUUGAUUGAUCGGGCCGCAUUUGGGUGGCAGUAGCUCAACUUCUUUGCCCUUUUUGGAUAUGGAUCCUUUCUUGCUCGCAGCGAUGGCCUACUCCUGAAUCUUCUCGGAUUUCUUGCCCAUCUUCUUGAUGCGCAUCCACUGGAUCAUGAGAGGCAGAUGGGAGGUGGUCGCGGCGACUACGGGUUGAGCUUGAGAAGAAGGAGCAAUAAUGGCGGCGGCGGCGGCAACAAAGGCAGCGGAGGUGCUAGGGUUGCGAAAGGGGCGCUCUCUCAGAUCUAAUGGAAUGUGUAAUGCAGGCAGCGCCAGGAUUUUUCUUUUAUGCUAGCACAACAGACAACAACGGUCGCGAGAUGUCGGGGAUUCACCCGAUAAUUGAGCAAUGAUCCAUUAUUGCAAAAGAUUUACCGCAAGAUAUGGAGUCCAACGGAUACGUUGACCAAGGAUUGACCCCUUCAUCAACUACAGGUAGUCGAACAAGUGCUCGGGGGCUGCGUAUAUCUCACCCGUCAGACAGUUUUUUCUCUGAAGACUAAAAGAAGUCGAGGGGAAAUUGCAAGUUUGACCCUCAGCUUGAUUCUUCGAUUCAACCUAAGGCUCAGGGGCUACUCCAUAUGGAGUGCGAUUGUCAUCGCACUACCAUAUAAAGGUUCAAAACAAAGGUUACUCGAAGCAACGUCAAGCGAAGCAGAGUACCUUCCAGCUAUGUGACAGUACUCAGAUACUCAAAGACUAGCCACGAGGAGCACUCAAUGAGCGUCAGAAAAUACUUGGGCGACAUCUUCAGAGUACUCGGAACUGUUCCACUCGACUACAAAGUACUCGAGGGCUUGUCAGGCAAUACAUCCCUGAGCCCACGAGUAGGCCCUGUACGGCCCAUCCAGGGGACGUACUCAAACGUGAUCAGGACAUGAAGACUACUCUGUAGGGCGCAUAGGCUUCAUGGACUCUCCGAAGACUAGUCGGGACAUAUGGAAACCACUCUACCGAGUUAGAGUAGGACUCUGUAACGUAUUCGAUUACAACUCCUGCACUCGAUCCGCCCUGUAACCCAGCUCCCUAACUAUAUAAGGGAGGGCAGGGACCCCUCCAGGGAAGGUAACACAACUCAUCAAUACAAUCCACACACAGGACGUAGGGUAUUACACGAUCUAGUGGCCUGAACCUAUCUAAAUCGUGUUCCCUGCAAUUGGCGCUAGAAAUCGGCCGAUCGAAUCUCUAGCGUCGGACACACGACCCGGGAGAAUCUGCUUAACUCCUGUUCGGGUGAUUGCCCUGGUACAGUUCGCGCGGCGUGCUAGCCAAUCUGACCUGUUGAUUGGCAAGGAAAGAAACGUGUCAGAUCCCAGAGGUUGCAAUCGGCUAAGGUUUCGAUCUCGAGAAAGCUUAUCAGCGAAUCGGCCGAUUUGCUAUAAUAAAGAAAUCGACUUAUAAUGUAGCCGAUUACGAGGCAACGUUGGUAAAGAAAACUACUACAGUAAUCUAAACAAUGCUAUAGUAGCAAAACUAGGAAUAGAUCUGAAUCAGCUAUGUAGAAAGUAGUAAUUUAGGUAAUAAGAUAUGAGAAAGCCGAAAGUUCAAUUCCAAGCUGGAUAACUGGUGAUAAAACUAGAAUGACAGGUAAAACCUAGAAUUCUAGUGGAUAUCGAUAACUAGUGAAUAAAUCUAAACGAAACGACUGCGAUGCACCUGAAGUUAAAGCUUAGAUAUUACAGAAUCGGCCGGAGAUCAAGUUGAUGUAGCCCCGCCAACCCGUACGAACUCGUGAAAAGAAGAAAAGUAUUGGCGAAGUUGCCUGCUUGAAAGUAAGUGUGAGGAAAAAGUAGUUUGUUGUAUUGAUUUGAUGAUGAUUACAGAUCUAUGAAGGCGGCUAUUUAUAGCCUGUUACAACCAAUUUCUUAACCGACUAGGACUCUAUCUCUAGUUUUAAACGAAAACAAAUUACAAGUAUGAUUCGUAUUGGAGUUGAUCAUCGCGAUCCCAUGGGCCGAUCUCUUCUCUAUCUUCACAGUUCAUUUUAAGUCCAUAUUGGCCCAAUUGCUUCAUCCUCCCAAUCGGCCGAUUCCACCAACUCCAUUCGCCGAAAUACUGCAGCACUAAUUGGCCGAUCCUCAACUGUAGCACCAAUCGGCCGAUUCCCAAUCGUGACCUCUGUGUCUUGCCGCAUCUCCUGAUUUCUUCCUUUCUUGACGCCGAUUUCAUACGUGUCAAAAUCUGGCGUCAACACAUGCCUCCCAGUUUCGGAGUAAAAUAUAAUCUUUACUUCGAAAUUCUUUUCAACUUUCUUUCCGAAACAAACGCAUUGAAAAUAUCCUUCCGUUUCGCGGUCUCCAGCCUGAUGAUUGCAAUCUUUUCAAAACGGGCGCCCACGACAACCACUCCUCCCGAAAAAAAUCAAAACGCCGGCGUGGUAAAAAUUCUGUUUUUACCCCUUCUCAGACCACCUUUAAAUAUCAGUACGUCCCGUACUCUUCUUCACGAGCUCACGUCUUCCUUCUUUGGCGCACUGAUCUUCUCCUUCCUCCGGCACCUUCCUUAGCCUCCAGUCUUUUCCUCUGGCAUCUCCUUCCAUCUACAUUCCACCCCACUUCUCCAAUGGCGACACCCUCAGGCACCUCUCCAACACCCGAAGCCCCAGAGAUGGCUCCACCAGCAGGAGCUCCAGCGGCAACGACAGUGGCUCCAUCGGCGGGAAAAGGAGCUCCAUCGGCGGGAGUUGGAGCUUUGACCGAGGUCCCAUCAGUGGCUUCAGCAUCCGCAGCUCCACCGGCGAUCCCGCCAACCACGAUGAGCUUCAUCCCAAAGGUUGUUACCGAAACUCCUCUUUCUUUAAUAACAAUGCAUUUACCUUAGAUCUGUUCUUACUUCCACCCCCUUUUUUCCUUUUUUAGGCGGUUAGACAUCAGAUUACCAUUCGUCUCACAGAAACUCCCGACCUUAUCUGUCUCGGUCCCAUGGGAAACCCAGAUCCAACCGACCUAAUCAAUUUGGAAACCCAUAGGAUCCCUUUUAAGAAAUCAACCAUGGACCUAGAUCAUUGGUCAGGUACCUUCAGAUCAUGGCCGAAUGAAAACUCGGCUGGAGAGAAUGGUACCAACGGAUAGCCGCCUCCAAGAGAGUCCAAUGGGAUGAGUACAAAAUCGACCAGUGCAUUGAUCUGUCUUUAUCCCAAAUGGAAAGGAACGAGCCCUUAGUGAUAGGAGCCUCCUAUUUUUGGUCUGAUGCCCUCAAUGCUUCCUCUUCGGACACGGGCCUAUGACCUUCACCUUGGCUGAUGUGGUCAUGUUGACCGGCCUUUACAUCUCCUCCCCUGAUACCCCUUUCCGUUAUCUAGCCAAAACAUCUCAUCGGCUGGAUACAAAAGGAAUCGGCGGAUGGAAAGGAUUCAUCAGAUGCAACAGAAGGGCCGGGAUAGUCGAAAAUAGAGAGCAUGCGGCCUUCCUAAUGAUGUGGCUAGAGAAACACUUUUUCUGCGGGAGAGCAGCCGGUCCAUCCACUAACACGCAGGCUCUGGCCGAGGCACUAUCCAUAGGGGCCUCUGUUCCCCUUGGAAAACACUUAUUGGGAUCGGCCUACCAUAUGCUGCACCAGAUCGGCGUCAAGCUGUCCCAAGGAGAGCCGAUUGGAAACCCAGGUGGACCCUGGUGGUUCAUCAACUUGUGGCUUAAUCUGUACAUGAGCAAGAUCUCCCAGCAAUGAGUGGAGCACAUGACGUUCCCCAAUAUCGAAUCGGCAGAUAAUCCCACUGUCCGACGCCGAUGUACAUCCUUCGACGAAGCGGCAUCGGCCUUUUCUGGUUCUUCAUAUUCUGCUACCAAGGUGGCCGAAUACUUUAGAUGCUUCUAUAAUGGCUUCAGCGAAGACGCAACCAGCUGGUUCCCUUAUCAGAGGGAGGAUCCACUCUUCGAACUCCCCUCUUAUUUUGACUCAGCCACUGGCAAAUUCGAUGAAGACCUCAUAGAUGAAUUAAUCAAGCCGGGGAUCUUACCGGCAAACUUCUUCUCGGGGACAAAUGCCCCUACUUAUGAGUUUUACAACCCCUCCGUCGCAGCACGGCAAUUCGGCCUGGGUCAACUGCCGAUUUAUGCAUACUUUGCCGGCCGAGCAAAGUUCAGAGACGAACUUACCAAGGGUCUUGACUACAGCCGGCUGCGUGAUCGGAUCCCAGAUUCCAGCACUAUAGAUCUGACCGGUUGGAUAGUAGCUCCUUUCGCCGUUCAGCAGUUCAAGUUAUGGUGGGCCGAAUGGAAGCAGUACCUGUUCUGCGCUUCUGCGGUGGUAUAUUGCAAUCUCCUAGAUCCAGACAACAUCGAUCCGAAUGCCGAGGUACCUCUCUCUUUCUGGCCGAUUUUCAUCUCCCUUCCUCUUUUUUUUUAUAUAUGUACUGACUCUUGCUAUUGCUUCAGUCUGAGAGCCACGCUCCCCCAAAACGCAGCCGGAGUGGUCGGCCGAUAGAGGACCGCUAUCCGUACAUAGCAUUCCCCCUCAUCGGCUAUCACGCACCUUCUGUUGAUGACAUAGCCGGCCGAGCGAAACAAGCGCAGAAGAAGGUCAUCAAGAAAACUAGUCGCCGAGUGCGUGCUCAUACAGAAUCGGCCGAUCCACCCGCGAUUGCAUCAGCAGAAAUUUCGGCUGCACCAACCCUUCUGAUUGCUGAAGAAGUCGACCUUCAAGCCGCUACAGAAGCUGGAGCAGCCGCCACAUCAUUAUUGGUGGAAGCUAUAAUACCUACUCACCGUCCGAUUUUCCUGAUCGUCAUUUCAAUACUGACCUUUCCUAUAUUAGGCUGCACAGAGUGCCCUAGUAAAUCCUCAGCAAUCAGCGGCGUCCCAAGCAGCUGUUGAAAUGCCAGCACCCCCUCCUGUUGAGGUACACGAUCUUUCAACUCAUUCCUCUAAUAUUUGAAUGAUGAUCUUACUAGCUUCGAUGCAGGUUACCGGUACGCUAACCACGCUAUACGAUCAGCCAUCGAUCACCCUUCAAGAGGCCGGUCUGAGCAGAGCGCCGAUUGUCGUUGAGUCCUCCUCUUCCAAUGAGCCAAUGGUGCCAGUUCCAGAGUCGAGAGUGGCGGUCUCACAAAUGCAGACGGAAGAAAUCCGCUUUAAAGAAGUAAGAAAUUUCCCAACCUUUAUCGGCCAAUUUGCUACCACCAUCGGCUGACUUAUUUUCUUUUCAUCUAUCAUUUUGCAGGAACAGGACACUCCCAAUAACAGCCUCUUCUCAUUUGCAGUCAUGCUCUCUGAUGAUGAGGAAGUUGCUUCCCCUCAAGUUACUUUGAGCUCCGUCCCUGAUGACGUCCGCGCUAAGCUUGAAAGCAUACGGUCCCUUCUUCAAGAGGACAUCGGCCGAUUGGUAGAGGACGCUUCACCGAUUCGGCAGCUCUUCGGUGAUGUUAGUGGGCGGGUCCUAGAGGAAGCAGAAGAAGCCUUGGCGCCGGCCGCUUACAUUGAGUCGAUGUGGAUCCCGGUCUUCAGGGCUCUGCGUCACAUGGCCGAUCGUGCCAAGCUGGCCAAGACUCGUGAGGAAGAGAACUCGUACAAGCAUCAGGCCCAGGAGGUACACCAACGAAUUCACUUUCUCGAGGACUCCCGCCCUGGACUCGUCGGCAUGAUAGAUCGCCUCAAACGCCAAAGAGCAGAACUUGCCAAGGAAAUGGAGCAAGUAACCAAGGAGAUAGCCAUUGAAGAGAAGAGGCUUCAGGAACUCCCCUCCGUUAUCGCUGAUUUAAAGCAGGAGAGGCAGCAUCUGGCCCAUGAAGCCCUUACACUCCAUCGCCAUAUGUCGGAAGUUCCAGGGUCGGCAGAGGAUGACCAACGGGUUUUGGACUCGGCCGAUCAGAUCCAGCGUCGAGCGAUUGCGGCCAUUAAUGCCCUUCUGGGUGAUCUGUAAAAGUACUGGUCGUUUUGUAAGAACAUUAAAGCCUUUUGAACAUCCUUCGCGGCUCCCUCUUAUUUACUACCCUUUAUACUCUGACGAGACGCAUCUUACCAAACUUCCACGCUUUCUCUACUUAUAAAUACCAGCCCUGGUUUCGCUUUUGAGAACACCCGCUCCAUUCGAUUCCUUUUUCCCGAUUUUGUUUCCAUCGGAGUGUUUGCAGUCAUGUCUUCUUCGUCUUCUUCUUCUCCCUCUGUCAAUCAGGUAUGAAAUCCGCCUCCACCUUUUUUAGUUCGAUUCCCUUAAAUCACCCCAACUUUUAGAUGGUUAUAUGUUGAUUUUUCAGCCAAGGCGCCUUAGCCCUAAACUCGAACGAGCAAUUGAACUUGUGUACUCUGAUGAGCCAUCAUCGCAAGAGGACAAGGACUUGAUUAAGGCACACCAUGAAGAACUUAGAGACCACGUCCCCGCCGACGUCCAACGGAUCUGGGACUUCAUCGACGGCAACGACUACAGGCAACCUCAAGUUGACAGGAGCCACCCACUUUCUCGUCCGGUUGCCCUUGAAGAUGCCGCGGCGGGGACAUCGCGCCCGGCGAUGGAUCGGAGUCAUCCUCUUCCUCGCCAAGUUGAAGCGGAGGCCGCGAUGAAGGAUAUGGAAGAACGAAGCAUCCGCCUUCUGAUAGAACUAGGCCGGAUUGAGUGAGAACUCAAGAAGAAGCGUGGUUGAUUAUUUUUUAUUCUAAGGGCGACUUGUAUUGCGUCGGCCGUGUAGUUUAUCAUCCGUACCGAAUGAUAAAUCAGCCGAUUUGAACGAUUAUAUUUUUUCUUUGGGCGAUUUUCCUUCCGUAUCAGCUGUGUGUUCGUUUCGGGAUAAACCCUUUGUCUUGUCAUACUCUACGAUCGAUUCUUAUGCUCCGACCCAUAUACUGGGGUAAUACCUUUUUAAGUAUCUCCCGUUCAAGGCCCUAGUAAACUCUUCUCCUUCGAUCAUUUCCAGAAUGUAAGCAUUUCCCGGGGCACAUCGGCCGAUUCUAUACGGUCCUUCCCAAGUGGGGGACCAUUUACCGAAUUUAGGAUCCUUUGCCCCAAUCGGCAACACUAACUUCCAUACCAGAUCCCCUUGGGAGAACUGCUUGACCUUGACCUUCUUAUCAUACCAUCUGGCCACUUUCUUUUUGUUUUCCUCGAUACUGAUCAAAGCUCUCAAUCGCUGUCCUGCCAAGUCGUCAAGUUCCCUUUUCAUGAGCGAGGAGUAAUUAUCAGCCGUCAGCUGAUCUUGGAGCGACGUACGUCUCGAUCCUGUUCUCAACUCCCAUGGCAAUACCGCCUCGUGACCGUACACCAAUUGAUAAGGAGACACCUUGGUAGCCCCGUGGCAGGCCAUCCUAUAUGCCCAUAGAGCUUCGGUCAGACAUAAAUGCUAUUUUUUGGGUUGUUCUUCUAUCUUCCUCUUGAUCAACUUAAUUAUCCCCUUAUUGGAAGAUUUGGCCUGACCAUUAGCCUGAGCAUAGUACGGGGAGGAAUUUAGUAGCUUGAUCCCCAUAUCAGCCGUGAACUCCUCGAACUCUCCCGACGUAAACAUCGUUCCUUGAUCGGUUGUGAUAGUCUGAGGGAUGCCGAAACGAUAGACAAUAUGGUCCCUCACGAAAUCGACCAUAGCGGCCGAUGUUAUGGCCUUUAAUGGAAUCACUUCCACCCAUUUGGUGAAAUAAUCUGUGGCUACCAGAAUGAAUUUAUGCCCUUUACUUGGCGGAGGAUAAAUUUGUCCGAUGAGGUCUAUUGCCCAACCUCUGAACGGCCAUGGCUUGAUAAUUGGAUUCAUAGCCGAUGCGGGCGCACGUUGCACAUUCCCGUAUUUCAGACAAUCUUGGCAUCCUUUAUAAUAUUUGAAACAGUCUUCGAGGAUUGUCAUCCAAUAGUAUCCAUUAUUCCUAAUCAUCCACUUCAUCUUAUGCGCCGAUUGGUGGGCUCCACAUACUCCUUCGUGGAUUUCUCCCAUCAAAGUCUUUGCUUCCUCUGUUCCUAGACAUUUGAGUAGAACACCAUCAAUCGUCCAAUAGAACAAGUCAUUUUCUAGUAAUACAUAUUUUGUGGCCUGAAACCGUAUUCGCCGAUCCACUUUCUUAGACGGAUCUUUCAAAUAAUCGGCGAUCUCUUUUCGCCAGUCGUCGGCCGCGAGCUCCAAAACCAUGGCGCCUUGAAUCAGCCGAUAUCCGGACGCGUGCUGGGCAAGCCUAUUGGCUUCUUUGUUAUGAUCCCUAGGGAUAUGCUCAAUAACCGUGGACUUGAAUUCUUUCAGGAGUUGGAGGCAAUCUUCGUAAUAAAUCCUUAAUACGUCAUCCUUGCAUUCGGACCUUCCUGUCCAUUGGUCCACGAUGAGCAUGGAAUCCCCAAAAAUCUCGACGGUGUCGGCCUUGGUCUCCCUUAGCAAUUGCAACCCUUUUAAAACGGCUCGGUACUCCACUUGGUUAUUAGUGGCGGAUGCUUCUAUCGGCAGAGAGAAAUCAUAACUUGCCCCCUGAGGCAACACGAGAACGAUGCCGAUUCCUGAUCCGGCCCCACAUGACGAACCAUCAAAUUAUAAGGUCCACGGUACUGGCUCCACGACGGCGAUUUCUGGUCCGCAGUGCUGGGCGACAAAAUCGGCCAUAACCUGACCCUUGAUGGCUUUUGCCGAUUCGUAUCGUAGAUCGAACUCUGAUAAAGCCAAGAUCCAUUUUCUGAUUCGUCCUUUCAAAAUCGGCAAUGACAGCAUGCAUUUUACUACGUCGUCUUUGCAUACGACUACACAUUCUGCCGAUAACAAAUAGUGUCUGAGUUUGGUGUAGGAGAAGUAAAGGCAUAGGCAUAGCCGCUCUACCGGGGGAUAUCUUGUUUUGGCUUUCAGAAGUCUUCUGCUAACAUAAUAUAUUACCCGUUCCUUUCCUUCAAACUCCUGGACCAGGGCCAACCCGAUAGCUCGUUCAUCGGCUGAUAAAUACAGCUUAAAUGGCUUAUCAGCUUGAGGUGGGACCAAUACUGGUGGCGAGACCAAGUACUGCUUAAUGUCCUCUAGCGCCUUGCGUUGCUCUUCUCCCCAUAAGAACUCUUGGUUGGGUUUUAACUUUAACAAUGGUGUGAAGGUCUGGAUAUGUUCGGAUAGAUUGGAUAUGAAUCUUCUGAUGAAAUUGACCUUGCCGAUCAAGGACUGCAACUCAGUUUUAUUCUGUGGGGCCACAACCUUAUUGAUGGCCAUUAUGGUCUUCCGGUUGAUCUCUAUCCCAUGCUUGUGAACCAUGAAUCCCAAGAAUUGUUCGGCGGAUACGCCGAAAGCACACUUGUUCGGGUUCAUCUUCAGCCCAUGUUUUCUCGUGCAUUCCAGUACCUGCUGCAAAUCGGCCAGAUGUUCUUGGUGCCCUUUUGAUGUGACUACGACGUCAUCGAUGUAGAUUUCCACCAGAAUGCCGAUAAGUUUGUGAAAUAUGUAAUUCAUGGCUCGUUGAUAUGUAGCGCCGGUGUUCUUCAAACCGAAAGUUAUUACCACCCACUCGAAUAAACCAAGGUGACCCGGGCAUCUGAAAGCCAUUUUUGAUAUAUCCUCCUCGGCCAUUAGUAUCUGAUUAUAUCCGGCGUUUCCAUCCAUGAAACUAAUAACUUUGUGACGCGCGGCGGCAUCUAUUAGUACAUCGGCCGUCGGCAUUGGGUACCCGUCCAUUGGCGUGGCUUGAUUGAGGUUCCUGAAAUCGAUGCACACGCACAACUUCCCAUUCUUUUUGUAUACGGGUAUAAUGUUGGAGAUCCAUUCGGCAUAACGGCAUUGCCGAAUAAAUUUUGCUUCAAUUAGCCUCAUGAUUUUGGCCUUUAUAUCGGGUAAGAUUUUAGGAUUACAUCGCCGUGCAGGUUGCUGAUAUGGCCGAUAUCCCGGCUUUAUGGGCAACCGGUGUUCGACAAUACACCGGUCUAAUCCGAGCAUCUCAUGGUAUUUCCAAGCAAAGCAAUCUUUAAACUCUUUUAAUAAACUUGUCAAUUUACAUUUGUAUUCCGGAUCCAAAUUAGCACUGAUGUACGUCGGCCUUGGCUUGGUGCCAUCACCUAAGUCUAUCAUUUCUAAUGAAUCGGCUGACAUGAACACGUGCCCUAGCUCCCCGUCUUCCUGGAUGGACUAAUCCAUUUAAUUUGAAUCUUCAGAGCCGACUGCUCGGAUCGGCUGUAGACCAAAAUCGGACACCUUCAGAAAAUCAGUGUCCCAUAUCCUCCCGGAUAUGCACUUGACAUUCUCGCAGCUCCAUUGUUGUGUAUCGGGCGCUGCGACGCUGUAUGCGGAACCGGCGGUGACCACUUCGAUGUUGUCGCCGACCCACUGCACGAGGCAUUGGUGCAUUGUAGACGGGAUGGAGCAAUUUGCGUGUAUCCAGUCUCGGCCGAGUAGCAUGUUGUAGGACCCUUCGCCAUUAAUAAUAAAGAAAGUAGUGGGAAGGGUCUUACUGCCGAUGGUGAGGUUGACGCAGAGCACGCCGCGGGCGGGAGACACGUUGCCUUCGAAGUCUUUGAGCAUCAUGUCCGUCUUGGUCAAAUCGUCGUCACUUUUUCCUAGCUUCCGGAACAUGGCGUACGGCAUGAUGUUAACAGCAGCUCCUCCGUCUACUAGUAAUCUGGUGAUGGGUCGGCCGUUGACAUGUCCCUUGAGGAACAAUGCCUUGAGGUGUUGCCGUUUGUCGUCCUCGGGUUUCUUGAAUGUGGUUGUCAUUGGCUCUAAAGCCAUUUGCGCCAUAUAUUCUUCUAUUGCCGACAUAUUAUGUCGGUCGGCAGGAGUCAUGAAUUCCAUCUGCAGAAUAAAAACCAUGUUGACAUCGGCUGCCGAUCCCUGGUUGUCGUCGUCUUCCCUGUCAUUUCUUUUGGGGCGCCAAAUCCGAGGCCUAUCGUUUUUCUUGUCCAUCAUAUGUUGUUGCUCUUCUUCCUGUUGUUCCCAUUGGCGAAGACGUUGAAUUCUUCGUUUUUGAGAUUUAGUCAGUCCAUCAGGGCACCAUCUGGGGUUUACAGGUUUAGUCAAUGGUUUGGCGCGUUCCCAUUCUGGUUCGCGUCCCAAGGGGUUCUCGUCUGAUACCCGAGCAUCGGCCAUUUCUUCCAGCCGAUUAUGAGCGCUGACUCUAUCUUCUGGUUGGUUGCGCCAAUCGAAUCUGCCCCCCGGCCUAUCAUCUCACUCACGCCUAUCUUCCGACCGGUCGUAUCGGUCACUUCUGCCCCCCAGCCGAUCACGCACUGAAGGGCGCCGGUCCUCUUGCUCGCGCCAGUUCCUGCUGAUCAGCUCUGGCCUUCCAUCUCUGGAACGGGACCUCCUGAAUGGCCGAUUGUUACGAUAUGGGCAAUUGCACUCAGGGCAAUUAUCGGCCGACGGCAGCCUAAGGUUACUCUCCCAGCAGUGGAUGAAGAACGGGCAUCGCCAGUGAUCUUCAUGCCGUUGCAUCAUCUCUUCCCGGAAUCUUGAACUUUCCUGCUGUCGUUGAUAUUUGUUGAGGAGAAAUUGGGAGGUGACGGGCCUGCGUGGUUCUCCCGAUUCUUUGCCUUCAUCCUCCAUCCGUCGUUUCCCCUUGAUGUCUUCGGGCGCCGCUUGAUUUCUAGGGUCUACGACGCUGCUCUUUUUAGCCGAUUCAGACGUUAGCACCUUGGUCUGGAGUGAAUUUCUUCCCGUGUCAACCAUGUUGGUGGGGAAGGGUGCUGAUAUAUCUUCAUCGGUUUGGCCGGCUUUGCCGGGACUUCAAAUUUGAGCCUGCCUUGUUCGAUGGCCGAUUGAAUCUGCUGUCAGAAGAUUUUGCAUCCGUUUGUAUCGUGGGAGGUGGCGUUAUGCCACUUGCAAUAUUUCAUCUUCUUCAGCUGCUCGGCCGACGGGAUCGUAUGGUAUGGUGAGAGCUUGAUUUCUCCUUCCUGAAGGAGAAGAUCAAAAAUUUUAUCGGCCUUUGAUGUGUCGAAACCGAAUGCCUUUGGCUCCUUUUUCCCGAACGGACAUGAUAUCGGCUUUUUUCCUUUAACCCAUUUUGCAAGGCCGAUUUUUGUUUCUUCUUCGGACUCAGCCCCUUCCAAAUACGCAACCUUUUUCUGGAAAUUCCUUCGCGGGUCAAAGGGACGUACUUCCUGACCAGACAAUCGAUGCACGAUUUGGCUCAGGCUCUCAAACUCCUGUGAAGCAUAUUUCUCCUUGAUGUGAGGCAGGAGACCCUGGAAGGCUAUGUCGGCCAAUUGUGCGUUGGUCAGGGCUAGGGUGUAGCAUUUGUUCCUGAUCUCUCUAAACCUCUGUACGUACGAGGAUACCGGCUCAUCACUUCUCUGUCUGAGGCUGGUUAAAUCUGAAAGCUUCAUCUCGUGUACCCCCACAUAGAAGUAUUUGUGAAAUUGCCUCUCCAGGUCAGCCCAUGUAAUUAUUGAGUUGGGCGGCAGCGUAGUAAACCAUUGUAAGGCCGACCCGGACAGGGAUGACGAGAAAAGGCGCACCCGUAGAGCAUCUUGUGCGACUGCCUCCCCACAUUGGAUGAUGAAUCUGUUCACGUGUUCCACAGUUGAGCUAUCGUCCAGCCCCAAAAACUUGGUGAAGUCAGGAACUUUGUACCGAUGGGGAAACGGCAGUAAGUCGUAAGUAGGCGGGUACGGCAUUCUGUAUGUGUAAGUUUGCACCUUCGGCUUCAAGCCGAACUGCUCCUGAAUCACCUCCGCUAUGCGCGCCAUCCAGUCUGGUUGUUGUUGAUGGACUAUCGGCUGGGGAACCGGCACAUGUUGAUAGACCAGCAGCGGGAUGACCGGGUGGUGGAUGAAAGCAUGCGGCGCCUGAUGCGACGCGGCCGGCUGCAUAGUCAGCAUCGGUUGUCUCAGUGAACCGGCCAUUUCAUCAUAUAGUACGAUCGGCGCAGCGCCCCGAAGUGCUUCCGUUGCUUCUGCCCCCCUGCUCAUCUCCGGCGUGACUGGCUGAUACUGUGGCAUCAUCGGCCGCAUGGCCGAUUGGAAAGGUGCCUGGAUCGGAGAGCUUCCAUGGCUGGCCGAUUGAUCCUGGACGGCCGUGGCCGAUGGUGCCCCCCAAGGUAUUGAAUUCAAAGGAGACCACUGCGCCGGGGAUAACUGAAUGGAUUGCAGCUGGAGAUAUGGUGCGCCGUUAGGUCCUAGAGAGAUUGACGAUGAAGGGGUGCUGGAACCUCCAGUCGAAGCUUGGAUCGGCUGAGGAGCCGAAUAGGGUAUACUUGGAUAACUCCUGGUCAGGGCCGUGAUAGGUGGGGCGUACGCCGGCCCCUGGUAUCCCUGGGACACGCCGUUGGCCAGGGAGCUGAUGAUGGCAUUAUAUACCGUAUAAGAAAUCACCGGGGAUUGAUCAAUGAAAGCUUGGUAGACCGAUUGUUGAACCAUCUCGGACAUCUUGCCCGAGUCCUCGGCGAUUGUGAUCUGGCGGGGAGUUGGAAACGGAGCCUUUUUGACAGCUUCCCCACUCCUGGUACGACUGAAGGAUUGUAGACAUGUCUUCCGGUAGUAUGCCAUCUGCUUUUCCAAUUCUUCCUUCUGGUCGUCCUUGAGGUCUGCUUCCGUUACCUCGAUGACGUUGUCUUCCGAGAUUUCGGCAACUUUCGACAUAGUGGUGGUUGUAUUGGUCCCACCGGGCGUGCCAAAAGUGUGUUGGCGCUAGAAAUCGGCCGACCGAAUCUCUAGCGUCGGACACACGACCCGGGAGAAUCUGCUUAACUCCUGUUCAUGUGAUUGCCCUGGUGCGGUUCGCGCGGUGUGCUAGCCAAUCUGACCUGUUGAUUGGCAAGGAAAGAAACGUGUCAGAUCCCAGAGGUUGCGAUCGGCUAAGGUUCCGAUCUCGAGAAAGCUUAUCAGCGAAUCGGCCGAUUUGCUAUAAUAAAGAAAUCGGCUUAUAAUGUAGCCGAUUACCAGGCAACGUUGGUAAAGAAAACUACUACAGUAAUCUAAACAACGCUACAGCAGCAAAACUAGGAAUAGAUCUGAAUCGGCUAUGUAGAAAGCAGUAAUUUAGGUAAUAAGGUAUGAGAAAGCCGAAAGUUCAAUUCCAAGCUGGAUAACUGGUGAUAAAACUAGAAUGACAGGUAAAACCUAGAAUUCUAGUGGAUAUCGAUAACUAGUGAAUAAAUCUAAACGAAACGACAGCGAUGCGCCCGAAGUUAAAGCUUAGAUAUUACUCGAUAAGCGGAACUUACAGAAUCGGCCGGAGAUCAAGUUGAUGCAGCCCUGCCAACCCGUACGAACUCGUGAAAAGAAGAAAAGUAUUGGCGAAGUCGCCUGCUUGAAAGUAAGUGCGAGGAAAAAGUAGUUUGUUGUAUUGAUUUGAUGAUGAUUACAGAUCUAUCAAGGCGGCUAUUUAUAGCCUGUUACAACCAAUCUCUUAACCGACUAGGACUCUAUCUCUAGUUUUAAACGAAAACAAAUAUUUACAAGUAUGAUUCGUAUUGGAGUUGAUCAUCGUGAUCCCAUGGGCCGAUCUCUUCUUUAUCUUCACAAUUCAUUUUAAGCCCAUAUUGGCCCAAUUGCUUCAUCCUCCCAAUCGGCCGAUUUCCACCAACUCCAUUCGCCGAAAUACUGCAGCACUAAUCGGCCGAACCUCAACUGUAGCACCAAUCGGCCAAUUUCCAAUCGUGACCUCUGUGUCUUGCCGCAUCUCCUGAUUUAUUCCUUUCUUGACGCCGAUUUCAUACAUGUCAAAAUCUAGCGUCAACACCUGCGUCACCAUCGACUCCUUGAUUCUCAGUGAAACCCACCGCACAAAACACCACCUCGGGUACUCCCUAGGCGGGUUGCCAGUAUAAAACACUGACACCCUAUUUACUAAAUGAAUAAAACCUCUGAGGUUGUUUACGUACCUACUACCUUACUGUUCCUGUGUCCGAGCUGUUCCUCACGCUCGGGGGUUGUCCGACCUAUUCAACAGACCACUAGCUUUCAAGCUCGGGGGCUUCCCCCAGGCGCUGACCCCUAGGUCUCGCAUCCUUCUCCUCCCCCUCUCAAGGUAAUACGACUAACUCGUGUGAUCGGCAUUCUAGUUCGUGAAACCUAGACAACCUUGCGUUCACCGCUCCAACAAGCUCGAGAUCCACUCUCAGCAGGACGCUAGUCAAGCAGUGCUACGUGCUUAGAGGCUAUAGGCCUUAGCUACAUGUUGUCCUAUCGUAUACACCAAGGGAGGGAUGGAGUUCUUUUCUUCUCGCAUACGUCAAGUCAAGUUGCAUCACAUGUCUUAUCAUACAGUUUGAUACAGCAUACAGUUUAAUUUUACAAGUCUAGAUCAUUGACAAUGUUUACUGCUACAUCAUUAUACUAGUCGGCCAGUUUUGGAAGAUUCUCCACAUUGAAGUUGGCUGCAACCCCUCCUCCAGCAUGCUCCAAGGGGAUCCGCAAGAAGUGUGUCUUUAGCACCGCCAAGAUGUUCUUGACGCACUCCAUCGCAGUGUCCUUCAACAGCUCUUUUAGCUGACCUGGCACGGCUUUGAGGCGAUCAAGCAGUGGCGUUGGCGCAGUCGGGUCCAUCUCUGGUCGAACCAUGUCCAUCACAUAGCCGACUGCCUUAUGAAGAUCCUCCAGCUCCACCUCUAACCCUGCAUCCACCAAUUGGUCAUGCUGAAGACUACGCGUUGCAGCCUCUAAGCAGCACUCAGUAUCUUUGCACGCAUUGGCUUCAUAAGUCAGCUUCUGCGACAUGGCAUACUCACGAUGAACCGCCACAUCAUGUUCUUGCUAAAGCCGAGCAUUCGAGUCCUCGCACUCUUUAAGGUUUCACUUGAGCCUUUGCUCCCUCACCGCGGCAUCUGCUCAUUUGAACAAAUUUACACCGCGACUUCAAGGAUAAAACCAAUUCAACAGGUCAGCACAACGUACCUUUCAAGUGCGCAGCAAGAAUCUCUUCCUUCAGGGCAUGAUCCAGGUCUUUUUGCACAGCGUCCUCUUUGGCCUUCUUGAGGUCAGCCUCAAGUCGCUCUGCCUUCAAGCGAUAGUGCUCGACUUGCUAGAUCACGUCCAGCCUCUUAUGAGCACACUCAGCAAGACCCUGCUUACAUUAUAACAAUUAGAGCUCUACAAAGAAACUAGAUUUCAGAUAUAAGUUCCUCGAGUUGGUCGGCACACUUACAAAAAGCAGCUUGGAAAUUUCGGAUGACGAUUGUUGCAGCUUGGCAAGAUCUUUCUUGUCUUGUGUUGCAUCCCUAGCAAGGUCGGACCCGAAGAGGUCCAAUGUAUCAAGAUCUUCUCCACCUUGCACGCUAACGUCAGCGUCCCCAACGAACCUCUCUAGCAGUGAUCAUCCCUGGGAAACUCCUCCAGUUGAGGCUCGGCUCUGGCACCCUCACCACACACCUGCCUGACCACAGAGUCGACCAUAGUAGCGUCCGCAGCCCCGAAGCCGACUUCGCCUUGUUGCAGCACCGGGUCUGGUACAGCUUCCCCGGCGAGACCAUCUUGAUCCACCCCAACAUUCAGAGGUAGCGGCUGUUCAACGGUGCAGCCGCUCGCCCCCGCGGUCUGGGUUGAGCAACCAGUCAGCUGCGCACUAGAUUCAUCAUCCAGCACGGCACUCCUGCAUUGUCAUUACGAGAAGUAAUUUAAGCAAGACAGGUGGUGAAAAUAACCACAAGACAAACAGUAUAACCAGAUCGCACUUGCAUAGGGGUAUUCUUCUUCACCCAGAACUUGGGGCGCAAGGGCGGUGGUGGCACCGAUACAUCCCCACUAGACCCCCCACGGAUCUUCACCUUCAAUGUCUCCUUGACAUGCUCCGCAUCGGUCAUGGUCAUCUCAAGGAGCUCGGACUUCUUCUUUGCAGGCGGGCUUAGCAUGUCGGACUCCUCGUCCGCUUUGCUGGCCGACCUGGCCGUGGAGGCUACGCUCAAGGCAGCCUUCUCCUUCUCCUUCCCUUUCUUCCCGGCCAUCUUCCUCCUCUUGCCGCUCGACUUCUGAGUUUGGGAGGCUGGAAGCUUCUUCAUGACCUGUCGUGCCCGGCGUCCCACUAGCUCGGAGUCCUUGGCUUGGCCAACCUCUUCUAACACGCUCUCGUCCGACCCGAUGGAGGAGUCUAGCUCCCAAUCAAUGCUGGCUAACGGCUCAUCGGACUAGAUGGUCGGGCGGAUCUUGGGCCGCUGCUACUCGACCCCUCCAGGAAGCGGCGCCGGGCAAAAGAAUUCAAAUUCAUAGUUCUGGUCAAUUAGUAAGAACUGUUAGAGACAACACACAAGCACAAUAGGAAUGUCAAAUCAAUGCAAUUCAGAUAAUACCGGGUCGGCUGGCCUCUUGAGGGAAAAUGCUUUCGGACAGCUCUUGUUCUGGAUAAGGCCACCAAAAAACUCGCUGACCCGAUUGGUGACUUCUUGCUUAGUCACGUUUCGCUGGACCUCUCUAGUUGGGUCCAGUGGCCCUGUAUACUCAUACGCCGGAUGAACUCUAUUCUAGAUCGGCUGCGUCAAUCUCCAGCAGAAAUUGAUACUAACAGCCCUGGUUGUGCGUCCUCGUACCUUCAAGUUGGCGAUCUUCUCCAGCAGUUGCUUCACUUGCACCAGCUCCUCCGAGGUCGACUGGUUCAACCACUCGGGCAUGCUCACUAACCUAUAUCCAGUACACGGCGAGAGCUCGGGCUGCUGGUUGAUAACUGUGCACUACUCCUUGUGCUAGCCUUGUUGGAUUCCUUCAACUGGAGAUGAAAGUACUCUUGCACUCUCUUCAGCCGCAGAGAAAAACCACAUCCUCCAAUUACUCUAAGCUUCCCCUAGUCGACACAACUUACGACUGGUACAGAUACUUCCAGAGAUUGAAGUGUGGGGGAAUGCCCAAUAGUGGAGAAGACCCCGGAAGAAGUCCCCGCACGAGAUCCCGAAUCUGUGCUGAAAGAACAAUGUGAAGACCACUGUCUCCGUCUUGUCUUCCGUGGGGAAAUCUUGCCCGGCGAUCACCUUCCAGUUGAGCAGCGCCUCGGGCCCCAGGAGGCCCCGGUCGAUGAGCGCCUGGAUGCGUUCCUCCGUCAUCACGGACUUCAUCCUGACCGAGGAUGGAUCUAGAAUCUGCGCUUGCACCAUUUCUUCGGUUUCUACUCCUUGUGAUUUGGAUCUAAUACCCACAAGGGUCUUGAUGCACAUACAGCGGCACAGCGGCUCCGGUGGCGGCGGCGAAGUGUGCACGAGCAGUUUGAAAUCGUGGUGGCGCGGCCUAGGGUUCACGGGCGCGACGACGAUGUGCUCUGUGGACUGUGGUGGCGGCGACACGAGUGUGGCGGAUGGAAAUGAAAACAGAUUUGCGCCCCUUGGGCUUUUAAAGGAUGCGACGGCAUAACCCUCACAACGGAAUAUGCGGAUUUUCCGUUAUUGUGGCGCACGCACCGGACGGAGUCUGCAAGUUUUCUGUUAUGCUUUCAACAGCAUGCCUCCACGGCUCCACCAGUCUUCAUCCUCGGGGGCUGGGCACAUAUUUCAGGUAGGUGCGCCCCCGCGGCUCUGCCAGUCCUCGUCCUCGGGGGCUGGGCGCCUAUUUUAGGUUAGCAUGCCCCUAGGGCUCCGCCAGUCCUUGUCCCCGGGGGCUGGAUGCCUAUUUCAGGUCGGCGUGCCUCCGUGGCUCCGCUAGUCCUCGUCCUCAGGGGCUAGGCGCCUAUUUCAGGUCGGUGUGCCUCCGUGGUUCUGCCAAUCCUCAUCCUCAAGAGCUGGGCGCCUAUUUCAGGUUGGCGUGCUUCCGCGGCUCUGCCUGUCCUCAUCCUCGGGGGCUCGAUGCUUACUUUUGGUCAACGUGCCUUCGCGGCUUCGACUGUCCUUGUGCUCAGGUGCUAGGAUAUGCCUUUGGGAUUAAUUUUUUAUUUUUGACCAUUGGACGGAUUAUACUAAUCGCUUCAAUGCUCGGGGGCUACUCAUAGAGUGCGUCUUGCGACGCCCUCCAUGUCCUUCAUUUCUACCUACUGCAUGCCCGUUAUCCAUCAACCCCGCACUCAACUUCGCUCUACGUGUAUGGCUCUGCGUUCGCUUGAAUUUUCUUCUUUUUUGAGCACUGCGCAGCCUUUCCAUCACCAUGAUGCCAUCGCAGCUUCAGCCGACCACAUUCCAAGCUUCGCUGUGAUGACCUCAAGUUCCUGUUCGCCUACACAUCGCUCGGGGCCUUGAGGGAUAUGGGUACCCCAUGGGUCCCCACCGACCAGGAUACUGGCCGAUCCUGAUAAGUGGACCCGCUCAACUAGAACGUGCGGGCUAAGGACAUGAAGAUACUUGGAGUACAAGUCAAGGAGGUCAGGCGAUUCAAAUCAGCCCGGAUAUUGUGGGAUACGUAUUGUAAUCCGACUCAGAUUAUCUUCUAUAUAACAAUCGACUAGAUUAGAUUCAAACCGACUUGUAACCCUAUAUAAGGCGGCCAAGGACGCCUCCCAAGGGCAUCCAAUCCCAUGUCAACUAUCCGCGAACAAUACCAAUAAUACAAUCCACCAAAAUAUAGGAUGUAGGGUAUUACUCUUCGAAGGCCCAAACCUGUCUAAACCCUCAUGUUCUCGUGAUCUUGGUCUCGCAAUCCUCCCUGCCUACAAAUCAACCACUUGGGUAACCCCCUGCUGAACUGCCGGGCUACUAAAUCCGACACCUAGAUUAGCAUUAGGGUAACAAAACAUACCAUUUUGAGCUUAAUGCCCCUAUUGCUGAUGCUAUCUCCGCCACCGGGUGCCGGGCACUGCUCGCCAUCAUAGAGCGCAGAAGUUGGUGUAGUGGUGCUCAUCGUGGCUUCCUGACGGCGAGGCGGAGCAGCGUAUCGGCUGCCAAAAGAGUCCGGUGGCAUUUCGUAGUCCUGGGCAGUCGUUACUAUGUUGCGGCGAACGGUCGAUAGAGGCAGCGUGGCGAAGUUCGCAGGAUGCGGCGGCCAUGGCCACGUAGUGAAGGUGGCGGACUGCAGAGCGCGGACGUCGAGGAAGCAGUGCGCGGUGCCAGCAGUCGAAGGGGAUAACUUGUUGACGCCAGAUUUUGACACAUGUGGAAUUGGCAUCAAGAAGGGAGAGAAUUGGCUGAUGCGGCGAGGCACGAAGGUCACGAUUGGGAAUCGGCCGAUUGGUGCUACAGUUGGAGAUCGGCCGAUUGGUGCUGUAGUAUUUCGGCGGAUGGAGUUGGUGGAGAUCGGCCGAUUGAGAGGCUGGAGCAGUUGGGCCAAUAUGGGCUUAAAGUGGAUUAUGAAGAUAAAAAGGAGAUCGGCCCAUAAGGAGCGCGACGACCAACUCCGAUACGAGUUAUGCUUGUAAAUAUUCGUUUUCGUUUAAACUUAGAGAUAGAGUCCUAGUCGGUUAAGAGAUUGGUUGUAACAGGCUAUAAAUAGCCAUCGUUAGAGAUCUGUAAUCAUCAUCAAAUCAAUACAACAAUCUACUAUUUCCUCACACUUUACUUUCAAGCAGGCGACUUCGCCAAGUACUUUUUCUCUUUUCACGAGUUCGUACGGGUUGGCGGGGCUGCAUCGACUUGAUCUCUGACCAAUUCUGUAAGUUCCAUUUAUCGAGUAAUAUCUAAGCUUUAACUUCGGGCGCAUCGCUAUAAUUUUGUUUAGAUUUAUUCAUCAGCUAUCGAUAUUCACUAGAAUUCUAGGUUUUACCUGUUGUUCUAUUUUUAUCACCAGUUAUCCAAUUUGGAAUUAGAGCUUUCAGCUUACUUAUAUUUAUUGCUUAAUCUACUGCUUUUUGCAUAGCCGAUUAGAUCUGUUCCAAGUGUUGCUACUGGGGUAUUUUAGUUUACUCUAGCAGUUUUCUUCACCAACGUUACUUAGUAAUCGGCUGUAUUAUAGCCGAUUUCUUUAUUACAGCAAAUCGGCCGAUUCGUUGAUAAGCUUCCUCGAGAUCGGAACCUUAGCCGAUCGCAACCUCUGGGAUCUGACACGUUUCUUUCCUUGCCAAUCAACAGGUCAGAUUGGCUGGCACGCUGCGCGAACCGCACCAGGGCGAUCACCCGAAUAGGAGUCAAGCAGAUUCUCCCAGGUCGUGUGUCCGACGCUGGAAGUUCAAUCGGCUGAUUUCUAGCGCCAACACACUUUUGGCACGCCCGGUGGGACCAAUACAACCACUACCAUGUCGAAAGCUGUCGAAAUCUCUGAAGACAACGUCAUCGAGGUGACGGAAGCAGACCUCAAGGAUGACCAGAAGGAAGAGUUGGAGAAGCAAAUAGCACACUACCGAAAGAUGUGCUUACAAUCCUUCAGUCGUACAAGGAGCGAGGAAACUGUCAGGAAAGCUCCUUUUCCAACUCCCCGCCAGAUUACAAUCGCCGAGGACUCGGGCAAGAUGUCCGAGAUUGUUCAACAGUCUGUCUACCAAGCUUUCAUCGAUCAAUCCCCGGUGAUAACUAAUACGGUAUACAAUGCCGUCAUCAGCUCCCUGGCCAAUGGCGUGUCUCAAGGCUACCAGGGGCCAACGUACGCCCCACCUAUCACAGCCCCGGUCAGGAGUUCUCCAAGUAUACCCUACUCGGCUCCUCAGCUGAUCCAAGGUCAGCCUGGAGGAUCUAGCGCUCCUUCGUCAUCAAUGCAUCUGGGAUACAACGGCGCACCAUACCUUCAGUCGCAUGCGCCACCUCAACCCACUCAGAUUUCUCCCGCGCAAUUAUCUUCACUGAACUCAGUGCCUUGGGGGGCACCAUUGGCGUCAGCCGGCCAAGAUCAGUCGGCCGGCUAUGGAAGCUCUCUGAUCCAGGUGCCUUUCCAAUCGGCCGUGCGGCCGAUGGUCCCACAGUAUCAACCAGCCGCGCCGGAGACGGGCAGGGGGGCAGAAACAGCAGAAGCACUUCGAGGCGCUGCGCAGAUUGUACUAUACGAUGAAACGGCCGGUUCACUAAGACAACCGAUGCCGACUACACAACCGGCCACGUCACCACAAGUGCCGCACGCCUUCAUCCAUCACCCGGUCAUUCCACCGCCGAUCUACCAACACGUGCCGGUUCCCCAGCCAAUAGUUCAUCAACAACAAGCAGACUGGACGGCACGGAUAGCAGAAGUGAUUCAAGAGCAAUUCGGUUUAAAGUCGAAGAGGCAAACCUACACAUACAGAAUGCCAUACCCACCUACCUAUGACUUACUGCCGUUUCCCCAUCGGUAUAAAGUUCCUGAUUUCACCAAGUUUUCGGGACUUGAUGAUACCUCAACUGUGGAGCACGUAAACAGGUUUAUCAUCCAAUGUGGGGAGACAACUACACAAGAUGCUCUACGGGUGCACCUCUUCUCGUCGUCUCUGUCCGGGUCGGCCUUCCAAUGGUUUACUACACUACCACCCAACUCCAUAGUCACUUGGGCUGACUUGGAGAAGCAGUUCCACAAGUACUUCUACGCGGGGGUGCAUGAGAUGAAACUCUCGGAUCUAACCAGCCUCAGACAAAGGAGUGAUGAGCCGGUGUCCACAUACGUGCAGAGGUUCAGGGAAAUCAGAAACAAAUGCUACACCCUAGUCCUAACCGAUGCAUAGUUGGCCGAUAUAGCCUUCCAAGGUCUCCUGCCUCACAUCAAAGAAAAAUAUGCUUCACAGGAGUUCGAGAGCCUGAGUCAAAUCGUACAUCGACUGUCUAGUCAAGAAGUACGCCCCUUUGAUCCAUGGAGAAAUUUCCAGAAGAAAGUGGCAUACCUAGAAGGAGCUGAAUCCGAAGCGAUAAAAUUUUCGAUCUGCUCCUCCAGGAAGGACAAAUCAAGCUCUCACCAUACCAUACAAUCCCGUCGGCCGAGCAGCUAAAGAAGAUGAAGUAUUGCAAGUGGCAUAAUGCCACCUCCCAUGACACGAAUGAAUGCAAAAUCUUCCAAUAGCAAAUACAAUCGGCCAUUGAGCAAGGCAGGCUCAAGUUCGAGGUCCCGACGAAGCCAGCAAAGCCGAUGAAGAUCGAUCAUCAUCCCUUCCCCACCAACAUGGUUGAUACAGGAAGGAACUCACUCCAGACCAAGGUGCUAACAUCAAAAUCAGCUAAAAAGAGCGGCGCCAUAGACCCCAGGAAUCAAGCGGCGCUCGAAGACGUCAAAGGGAAACGAUGGAUGGAGGAUGAAGGCGAAGGAUUGGGAGAACCACGCAGGCCCAUCACCUCCCAAUUUUUGCUCAACAAGUAUCAAAAGCAACAAGAAAGUUCAAGAUUCCGGAAAGAGAUGAUGCGACGACAUGAAGAUCACUGGCGAUGCCCGUUCUUCAUCCACUGCUAGGAGAGUAACCUUAGGUUGUUGUCGGCCGACAAUUGCCCAGAAUGCAACGGCCCAUAUCGCAACAAUCGGCCAUUUAGAAGAUCCCGCUCCAGAGAUGGAAGGCCAGAGCCAAUCAGCAAAAACUGGCGCGAGCAAGAAGAUCGGCGCCUUUCAGUACGUGAUCGGCUGGGGGGCAAAAGUGACCGAUAUGAUCGGUCAGAAGACAGGCGCGAGCGACAUGACAGGCCGGGGGGCAGGACCAAUCAACACGACCGACCAGAGGACAGAGUCAGCGUGCACGAUCGGCUGGAGGAGAUGGCUGAUGCUCCGGUAUCAGACGAGAAUCCCUUGGUACGGGAACCAGAAUGGGAACGCGCCAAACCAUCGGCUAAACCAGUAAACCCCAGGUGGUGCCCUGACGGAUUGACCAAAUCACAAAAAAGAAGAAUGCAGCAUCUCCGCCAAUGGGAAAAAUAGGAAGAAGAGCAACAACAGGUGAUGAACAAGAAAAACAACAGGCCUUGGGUGUGGCGCCCCAGAAGAAACGACAGGGAAGGCGACGACAAUCAGGAAUUGGCAGCCGAUGUCAGCAUGGUUUUCAUUCUGCCAAUGGAGUUCAUGACUCCCGCUGACUGGCAUAACAUGUCGGUGAUAGAAGAACAGAUGGCGCAAUUGGUUUGCGAGCCAAUGACAGCCACAUUCGAGAAACCUGAGGAAGAAAAACGGCAGCACCUCAGGGCGUUGUUCCUCAAAGGACAUGUCAACGGCCGACCUAUCACCAGGCUGCUAGUAGACGGAGGUGCUGCAGUAAACAUCAUGUCGUACGCCAUGUUCCGGAAGAUGGGAAAAAGCAACAAUGAUUUGACCAAGACGGACAUGAUGCUCAAAGACUUCGAAGGCAACGUGUCUCCCGCCCGCGGCGCGCUCUGCGUCGACCUCACCAUCGGCAUUAAGACUCUUCCCACCACUUUCUUUAUUAUCAAUGGCAAAGGGUCCUACAACAUGCUACUCGGCCGAGACUGGAUACACGCAAAUUGCUGCAUCUCGUCUACGAUGCAUCAAUGCCUCGUACAAUGGGUCGGCGAUAACAUCGAAGUGGUCACCGCCGAUUCCGUGUACAGCGUCGCGAUGGCCGAUACACAGCAAUGGAGCUGUGAGCACGUCAAGUGCAUAUCUGGGAGGACUUGGGACACCAAUUUCCUGAAGGUGUCCGAUUUUGGCCUACAGCCGAUCCGAGCAGUCGGCUCCGAAGAUUCAGAUUAAAUGGAUCAGUUCAUCCGAGAAGACGGGAAGCUAGGGCACAGGUUUACGUCGGCCGAUUCAUUAGAGAUGAUAGAUCUAGGCGAUGGCACCAAGCCAAGGCCGACGUACAUUAGUGCUAAUCUGGAUCCGGAGUACAAAUGUAAAUUGACAAAUUUAUUGAAGGAAUUUAAAGAUUGCUUUGCUUGGGAAUAUCAUGAGAUGCCUGGAUUAGACCGGUCCAUUGUCGAACACCGGCUGCCCAUAAAGCCGGGAUAUCGGCCAUAUCAGCAACCCGCUCGGCGAUGUAAUCCUAAAAUCCUACCUGACAUAAAGGCCGAAAUCACAAGGUUGACUGAAGCGAAAUUUAUUCGGCAAUGCCGUUAUACCGUGUGGAUCUCCAACAUCGUGCCCGUAUACAAGAAGAAUGGAAAGCUACGCAUGUGUAUUGACUUCAGGAACCUUAAUCAUCCUACGCCGAUGGACGGAUACCCGAUGCCAACAGCCGAUGUGUUAAUAGACGCCACCGUAGGUCACAAAGUCAUUAGUUUCAUGGAUCGGAAUGCCGGAUACAAUCAAAUACUAAUGGCCGAAGAAGAGAUAUCAAAAACAGUUUCAGGUGCCCAGGCCACCUUGGCUUGUUCGAGUGGGUAGUAAUGACUUUUGGGUUGAAGAACGCCAGCGCUACAUAUCAGCGAGCCAUGAAUUACAUAUUUCACAAACUCAUCGGCGUACUGGUAGAGAUUUACAUCGAUGACGUCGUGGUCAAAUCAAGAGGACACUAGGAACAUCUGGCCGAUUUGCGGCAAGUAUUGGAAUGCAUAAGAAAGCACGGGUUGAAAAUGAACCCGAACAAAUGCGCUUUCGGCGUAUCCGCCGGACAGUUCUUAGGAUUCAUGGUUCACGAGCGUGGGAUAGAGAUCAACCGGAAGACCAUAGCGGCUAUCAAUAAAGUCGUGGCCCCACAGAAUAAAACUGAGUUGCAAUCCUUGAUCGGCAAAGUCAAUUUCAUCAGGAGAUUCAUAUCCAACUUGUCCGGACGUAUCCAAGCCUUCACGCCAAUAUUGAAGUUGAAACCUGACCAAGAGUUCAUGUGGGGAGAAGAACAAUGCAAGGCACUGGAGGAUAUAAGGCAAUACUUGGUCUCGCCACCCGUAUUGUGUUGGAGGUAUGCCCUAGAGGCAAUCAUAGAGAUGAUGAUAUUCCAUUUGUAUUCAUGAUUUGUAUGUUGUGUUCAUUGAAUAUCCAUUGAAGGCUACUUGAAUUGAUUUGCAAUUAUGUGAAUUGUAUGUGAAACUCUUUACUUGUAUGGUUAUUCUAAAGUUGUCCCUAGUCGGAGUUCAUGUGAGGACACACAUGAAUAUUAGACUAGCACAUGUAUUAGUUGAUGACUAUGUUUCACAAGUCAUGGACAUGGAGAUGUUGAACUAAUAAUGUGGACACAUGUGGAGACAUGUGCUAGGACUAACCCAACACGAGAAGUAGUUCUCUCUUUAAACAACAUAUACGUUUUGUCCUUAGACCUGAGAUUGUCGCAUGUAUUCUAGAUGUGGAUCGACCUACUUAGGGGCUAUCAAACUCUACGCCGUAACAGGGUAGUUAUAAAGGUAGCUUUCGGGUUUGUCAAGAAGCAUGCUAUGAGACAUGGUCAAUCAAGAUGGGAUUUGCCCCUCUCUGAUUGAGAGUGAUAUCUCUGGGCCCCUCGAGUGAUCGGAUCCGAAAAUGCAUGGCCAUGCUACGUACGGUUAAGAGUUAACCUACAAAGGGAUUCUGAAUCACAGGAUCGAGAAAGAGGGGUCGGCUUGAAGCUAGACCAAAUAUCGUGAGGCAAAGGGAAUAGCAUGUAUAUUAUGUUGUGAUGGUUCGUCUGAUAUGAUCUUCGUGUGCGUAUAGGAGUUGGCACCUCUUGCUAGAGGCCGCUACCGACUAUUGGGCCGAGUAGGAGUACUCGGGCCAUGUCUAUACGUAUCCGAACCUAUAGGGUCACACACUUAAGGGGCUGGAAGCCCAAUUCGGAUCAGAUUCGAGUUGGAUUAGGUUUAGAAAUACUAAUGGGCCUCGGAUCCAGAGGCCCGUCAGGAACCUCUAUAAAUAGAGGGGUGGGGGCGCCCUAGGGUUUACACCUUUUUGGCGAAACACACCUGCCGCGCCUCCCACGCCCUCGCCUGUUGCAACUCGCUGAUCUAGCAGUCCGGCUUGCGACGCUUCCUCCCUGCACGUGUGGAUACCUUGGAGGUGUUGCGCCUGCAGCACUUGGACGAGCCGUCGACGAGCCGCCGACGAGCCACGACGAGCCAACGACGAGCCGCGGCACCGGAGGCAAUCUUUUUGCACGUGGACGAGCUGCUGAGGAGCUGCUGGACGUUGACGUGAUCGACUACGUACGACUACGUUGAUCGACUACGUACGACUACGUGAUCGUCUUCACUGCAUCGACGCAUAUCUACAUCUUCCGCACCAGUAGUGCGUCGAGUGGUAAUCCCAUGAUCCUUAUACGGCAGUUCUUCCUGGUUUUACGUGGUAGAAAUUUUGAUUUGCGCUAGUGUAGCCUACCUCGUAUCCCAACAGUGGUAUCAAGAGCCGUAGCUGCUUAGUUUUGGAUUCGGGAUGUGUGCAUAUGGAGAUAUGCGAGUUUUUCGUUUGAUCUAUGUCCUGGUUUCGUGCCCUUGCUGCAAUGGUAGUGUAACGACAUACUCCUACCGGUCGGUUUCCGCCAUCAGAGUUAAGUGAUACACGUAAAUCCAGUUGCAGUGAGCGAAGAUCAAUAUGAUUGGUGGAAUCAAGAUCCAGGGUCAUACGCCAGGCGCAUUAGAUGUGCAAUAGUAGAUGAGAUCUACUGCCGGGGUCGGGAUUUUUGCCGUAUGCGUAUGCUUCGCUAAAUCAGCCGUAACUUUUCGGUACGAUCUCGGAUCGGGGCGAAUUUUAUAUGAAAAUUGAUCUACUGAAAAAGUUACACAUGAAAUUCAACCGCUUUGCCGUUUUCAGCGAAAUUAGAUUUCCCAAAUUCGGCUUGGAAGAUGGAGUUUCGGGCCUCCAAAGUUUGGAACGUUAGGGCGCCUAACUCUGUUUUGCAGGAUGUAUGUAUGUAUCUUGUGAUCAGUAUGGCCCCCUUGUGUAUGUGAUGCAUGUGUGUAACUCAUUCGUGACCUGCGUGUCGCGCGUACGGCAACACGGCAGGAGCCAUAUGUGUUGUCACUUUAUUGUAUUUAAUGGUCUGCGUACCAAUCUGUGAUGAUCCAAGCAACUAUGUAAUCUUCAUUACUAGAUUCUUUACUAGCUAUUAGGUGUAAUAGCAUGUUCUAGUUCUUGGAGGACUCAUCACCAGUAGGAUGGCGCACAUGGAACAUGGAGAUGGAGAUCACCAUGGUGAACAGGUUCUAUGGAGAUGGAGAUCACCAUAUGAAAACGGGCCAUACCGUGUCACAACUGUGUGAAUGCUAUUCUGUUUAUGUUUUACUUUCUGCAUGCUGUGUGAGGUUAGAAGUAGAACGAUCCCUCACAAAGUUUAAGUUAGUAUGCCCUCCCAACUAAAACUUGCACCGUCCCAUGUCUUGUACAAUUAGUGGUUGGUCUAUGAAAUUAGGGUACCACUAGUUUUCCUUGACUAGACGGGUUUGUGUCGGACACUUACACGCAUAAGGGUUGGUUUGCUUAACGAGGUCAUCUUAACGGUUAAGGACCUUGGGGCAUGACGGUUGGGCGCCGAGACAUGGAGAUGUCACCCAAUAACAGGAGUCAUAUGUGAUAUGAUUAGCAAAAGUUGCUUACCGAUCUACCUUGUUUGCUAGCGGUGAUGCUAAAGCUCACUAGUGAACUUGUUAGUUGUGGAUCCUGAAUCACUAAGUUUCAAUAGAGGGAUAUUGAUUUUAGUGGGAGUAGAUUUUGUUAAAAUAGUUUAAUGUGAUUUGCUCUAUCAUGGAUACGUUUGUCUUAGUGUAUUUUGCAUUACUUUGUUGUAGAUUAAAUGGCACCUAGCAGCACUACACCGUUUGCUUUGCGUUCGGUCCUUGAGAAGGACAAGUUGAAUGGAACAAAUUACUCGGAUUGGAUCCGUAACCUGAGAAUCGUUCUCAGGGCUGAGAAAAAGGAAGAUGUUCUAGACAACCCACUACCAGAAGAACCUGCUGAUGAUGCACCCGCUGCUGCUAAGAAUGCUUACAAGAAAGCAUGUGAUGCUAACCUUGAAGUAAGCUGCCUUAUGCUUGUUUGCAUGGAACCCGAGCUGCAGAUGCAGUUCGAAACAAACCAUGAGGCGCACGAUAUGAUCGUGGCGCUUAGAGACAUGUUCCAAAUACAGGCCAGGACUGAAAGGUUCAAUGUGUCUAAGGCCUUUGUUGAGAGCAAGCUAGCAGAAGGCGCAGCAGUAGGACCACACGUAAUCAAGAUGGUUGGUUACACUCAACGGUUGGAGAAGCUAGGCUUCCCACUAGGCCAAGAGUUGGCCACUGAUUUCAUUCUUUCGUCUCUUCCGCGUAGCUAUGGGAACUUCAUCUCGAACUACCAUAUGCAUGGGACGGAGAAGGGUCUGAAUGAGCUGUGUGGCAUGCUUAAAACAGCAGAGGCUGACAUCAAGAAAAGCGCUAGUACCAGCCAUGUGAUGGCGAUACAGAACAAGCCUAGCUUUAAGAAGAAGGGCAAUUCUUGGAAGAAGAAGGGCAAGGCUGGAACGUCCAAGCCAAACCCAGCGCCCAAGGUUAAAGCUGGACCUGGACCUGCUCCAGACAAAGAGUGCUUUUACUGUCAUGAACUUGGUCACUAGAAGAGAAACUGCAAGCAGUACCUAGCUUCCUUGAAGAAUGGCGGAAGUAAGAGUACUUCUAUCUCAGGUACGCUUGUUGUUAAUGUUAUAGACAACAUAUUUCUCGCUGAUACAAUUAUUAAUUCUUGGGUAUUUGAUACCGGAUCGGUUGCUCAUAUUUGCAAUUCGAUGCAUGGAAUGAUAAGAAGUAGAAGCGUGGAAAGAGGAGAAGUUGAUUUCCGCGUGGGCAAUAAUGCAAGAGUUGCU